Molecule: non-coding RNA, 640 nt
Organism: Marmota flaviventris (yellow-bellied marmot)
Lineage: Eukaryota; Metazoa; Chordata; Mammalia; Rodentia; Sciuridae
Source: RefSeq, a predicted model, not a curated record
CAUUACAUCCCUACUCCUAUGUUCUUCAUUUUCAGAGAGGAUCUUGCUAUGUUUCCCAAUCCCACCUCCAAUUUACAAUGUUCCCACCUCAGCCUGGGGAUAGCUGGGAUACAAGCAUGUACCACCAUGUCUGGGUUCUGUGGUUCACAUUUUGCAUGAAGAUUGUAACUGUCCCCAGUGCCCCAUUGUGAAGUCUGUUUUAAUUUCAGGGUCUGCUGACGUUCAGGGAUGUGGCCAUUGAAUUCUCCCAGGAGGAGUGGAAGUUCCUGGUCCCUGCUCAGAGGGCUUUGUACAGGGACGUGAUGCUGGAGACCUACAGGAACCUGGUCUACCUGGCAGGAAUAUGUCCUUCAGACCUGAGUGUCCUCUGCUGGUUGGAGCUAGGGAGGGAGCCCUGGACUGUGAAUGGCCCAGAGGAAAUAUCCAGGCCUGCAAAUGAGUGGGCGUGUGUGGAGGGUGUGAAAGCAGAAGAACCGGAAACAAACAUUCCUCCAGCUCCUUACAAAUGUAAUGAGCUUGAAAAAUCCUUUAAUCAAGAAUCACACCGUCCUAUACAUCAGACAAUCUGUACUGGAGAGAAACGAUUUACUUGUGAAAUAUGUAGCAAAGUCUUCAAUAAAAAAUCUUAUCUUAUAAGUCA